Long non-coding RNA from Mauremys reevesii (Reeves's turtle), 260 nucleotides. RefSeq lists it as uncharacterized. The record is from RefSeq and is a predicted model, not a curated record. The transcript has 3 exons. Lineage: Eukaryota; Metazoa; Chordata; Testudines; Geoemydidae.
GCAGGAUUCUAAACCAAUGAACCAUCCAGGAGCCAUGCCCAUGAUGCACAUUCUGUGACAAGAGAUGAGGAAUGUUCAGGAACUUGACAACAGUUGAACACCCAGGUGAAGCAGUGUCAGAUUUAAACCGUUAUCUGCUAACAGCUUGAAAUGUGUACAUGUUGCAGAUCCCAACUCCUGGAACAGACGAAGGACCAUCUGGUUGGAAGAUAGCACUGCUUUGUAGGAAUGGCCCUUGAGUAGCCAGUUGUUGAGAUAUG